UGGGGAAUUUUGGACAAUGGGGGCAACCCUGAUCCAGCCAUGCCGCGUGAGUGAAGAAGGCCUUCGGGUUGUAAAGCUCUUUCGGACAGAAAGAAAACUUAGUCGCUAAUACCGGCUGAGGAUGACGGUACUGUAAGAAGAAGCACCGGCUAACUACGUGCCAGCAGCCGCGGUAAUACGUAGGGUGCGAGCGUUAAUCGGAAUUACUGGGCGUAAAGCGUGCGCAGGCGGUUUUGUAAGACAGACGUGAAAUCCCCGGGCUUAACCUGGGAACUGCGUUUGUGACUGCAAGGCUAGAGUACGGCAGAGGGGGGUAGAAUUCCACGUGUAGCAGUGAAAUGCGUAGAUAUGUGGAGGAAUACCGAUGGCGAAGGCAGCCCCCUGGGUCGAUACUGACGCU
This 400-nucleotide ribosomal RNA is filed under the name uncultured bacterium. Its description in RNAcentral is "bacterial SSU rRNA". It matches the Rfam family "Bacterial small subunit ribosomal RNA", at positions 355 to 747 of the family's 1533-position model. The record is from RNAcentral.